GCCUGGGUGGCUCAGUCGGUUAAGUGUCUGACUUCAGCUCAGGUCAUGACCUCAACGUUUGUGAGUUCGAGCCCCGCAUCAGGCU
RNAcentral lists this transfer RNA (85 nucleotides) under Felis catus (domestic cat). It matches the Rfam family "tRNA". Rfam says of the family: Transfer RNA (tRNA) molecules are approximately 80 nucleotides in length. The record is from Rfam by way of RNAcentral. Lineage: Eukaryota; Metazoa; Chordata; Mammalia; Carnivora; Felidae. RNAcentral also lists the same sequence under 1 other name.